UGGUAAAGGAUUAAUGCGCUUGUCUAGUAAACAGGAGAUCCUGAGUUCGAAUCUCAG
RNAcentral lists this transfer RNA (57 nucleotides) under Salmo salar (Atlantic salmon). It matches the Rfam family "tRNA", at positions 8 to 63 of the family's 71-position model. From Rfam's summary of the family: Transfer RNA (tRNA) molecules are approximately 80 nucleotides in length. Lineage: Eukaryota; Metazoa; Chordata; Actinopteri; Salmoniformes; Salmonidae. The record is from Rfam by way of RNAcentral.